CCUACGGGUGGCAGCAGUGAGGAAUUUUGGUCAAUGCACGAAAGUCUGACCCAGCCACGUCGCGUGAAGGAUGACUGCCCUCUGGGUUGUAAACUUCUUUUAUAUGGGAAUAAAAUGUUCCACGUGUGGGAUUUUGUAUGUACCAUAUGAAUAAGGAUCGGCUAACUCCGUGCCAGCAGCCGCGGUAAUACGGAGGAUCCGAGCGUUAUCCGGAUUUAUUGGGUUUAAAGGGAGCGUAGGUGGAGUGUUAAGUCAGUUGUGAAAGUUUGCGGCUCAACCGUAAAAUUGCAGUUGAAACUGGCAGUCUUGAGUACAGGAGAGGUGUGCGGAAUUCGUGGUGUAGCGGUGAAAUGCGUAGAUAUCACGAAGAACUCCGAUUGCGAAGGCAGUUCACUGGACUGCAACUGACACUGAGGCUCGAAAGUGUGGGUAGCAAACAGGAUUAGAUACCCUAGUAGUC
This 460-nucleotide ribosomal RNA is filed under the name uncultured bacterium. RNAcentral describes it as "partial 16S ribosomal RNA". It matches the Rfam family "Bacterial small subunit ribosomal RNA", at positions 338 to 795 of the family's 1533-position model. The record is from RNAcentral.